GAUGAACGCUAGCGGCAGGCUUAACACAUGCAAGUCGAGGGGCAGCGGGUUGUAGCAAUACAAUGCCGGCGACCGGCGCACGGGUGAGUAACGCGUAUGCAACCUGCCUGUAACAGGGGGAUAACCCGGAGAAAUCCGGCCUAACACCGCAUAACACAUGUAAGCCGCAUGGUUUUCAUGUCAAAUAUUCGUAGGUUACAGAUGGGCAUGCGUCCGAUUAGCUAGUUGGCGGGGUAACGGCCCACCAAGGCAGCGAUCGGUAGGGGUUCUGAGAGGAAGGUCCCCCACAUUGGAACUGAGACACGGUCCAAACUCC
Molecule: ribosomal RNA, 316 nt
Filed under: uncultured Bacteroidales bacterium
Lineage: Bacteria; Pseudomonadati; Bacteroidota; Bacteroidia; Bacteroidales
Description: bacterial SSU rRNA
Rfam family: Bacterial small subunit ribosomal RNA
Source: RNAcentral